CACGUAGGGCGCAAGCGUUGUCCGGAAUUAUUGGGCGUAAAGAGCUCGUAGGCGGUCUGUUGCGUCCGCUGUGAAAACUCGGGGCUUAACCCCGAGCCUGCAGUGGAUACGGGCAGACUAGAGUUCGGCAGGGGAGACUGGAAUUCCUGGUGUAGCGGUGAAAUGCGCAGAUAUCAGGAGGAACACCGGUGGCGAAGGCGGGUCUCUGGGCCGAUACUGACGCUGAGGAGCGAAAGCGUGGGGAGCGAACAGG
Molecule: ribosomal RNA, 253 nt
Filed under: uncultured bacterium
Lineage: Bacteria
Description: partial 16S ribosomal RNA
Rfam family: Bacterial small subunit ribosomal RNA
Source: RNAcentral